RNAcentral lists this ribosomal RNA (467 nucleotides) under uncultured bacterium. RNAcentral describes it as "partial 16S ribosomal RNA". It matches the Rfam family "Bacterial small subunit ribosomal RNA", at positions 28 to 523 of the family's 1533-position model. The record is from RNAcentral.
GACGAACGCUGGCGGCGUGCUUAACACAUGCAAGUCGAGCGGGAAACUUCGGUUUCCAGCGGCGGACGGGUGAGUAACACGUGGGCAACCUGCCUCACAAUGAGGGAUAGCCUUCCGAAAGGAAGAUUAAUACCUCAUAACACAAGAGAAACGCAUGUUUCUCUUGCCAAAGAAUUUCGUUGUGAGAUGGGCCCGCGGCGCAUUAGCUUGUUGGUGAGGUAACGGCUCACCAAGGCUUCGAUGCGUAGCCGACCUGAGAGGGUGAUCGGCCACAUUGGAACUGAGACACGGUCCAGACUCCUACGGGAGGCAGCAGUGGGGAAUAUUGCACAAUGGAGGAAACUCUGAUGCAGCAACGCCGCGUGAGUGAUGAAGGUCUUCGGAUUGUAAAGCUCUGUCUUCUGGGACGAUAGUGACGGUACCAGAGGAGGAAGCCACGGCUAACUACGUGCCAGCAGCCGCCGUAA